UAUAAUGGUACGUAAUUAAUACAAGCAAGAAUUUUGGCGGACACUCUGCAGUUCCUGCCUGCACCAAGGUCUUAGCUGAAUAAAGAUUUCACCGACUUUUGUUAACACUACUGAUGAAUGCCACCAUUUUAAACCGGAUAUUUUUCUGCAGUUCCACGCUACUGGCAACUAUUUUCUGAUUUAUGCGACGACGUUGAUGAGACACACUAACUGAUAAACAAACAACGAAAUAUAAAUAAACAAAUGAUAAAUAGGUAAAGAAAAUAUUCGCGCAAACAUUCACUGGGGCACCAUAAUGAUGGGUUUAUUUGAACACAUUGAUCCCCGAAGCGCUACAUUACUGGGACGUAAACAAACCAACACAGGUUUACCAAGCGGUGGUGGGGACAAACUCAACACAAAGAUGGACUCCUUUCAGUUUCCAUCCAUUAAAUUCACUCACAAGGCUUUCGUCAACUCAGAGAGGUAACGAAAAACAUUUUCCCAAGGUGAUGUGCAAAUGGACUGAACCUAAGACCACAUGGUUGGAAAGCAAGCUUAAUAUUCAACAAAAAUGCUAACAAUGACUUUGAAGUUUCGUCAUCAAAAUGUAAACCUUGGUAAAAUGUAAUAAACGUAUUUUAAGAAAAGAA
This is a long non-coding RNA of Octopus bimaculoides (California two-spot octopus), 632 nucleotides long. RefSeq lists it as uncharacterized. NCBI's taxonomy places the organism in Eukaryota, Metazoa, Mollusca, Cephalopoda, Octopoda, Octopodidae. The record is from RefSeq and is a predicted model, not a curated record.